This 253-nucleotide ribosomal RNA is filed under the name uncultured bacterium. RNAcentral's name for it is "partial 16S ribosomal RNA". It matches the Rfam family "Bacterial small subunit ribosomal RNA", at positions 524 to 776 of the family's 1533-position model. The record is from RNAcentral.
UACGGGGGGGGUAAGCGUUGUUCGGAAUUACUGGGCGUAAAGGGCUCGUAGGCGGCCAACUAAGUCAUACGUGAAAUCCCUCAGCUUAACUGGGGAACUGCGUGUGAUACUGGAUGGCUUGGAUUUGGGAGAGGGAUGCGGAAUUCCAGGUGUAGCGGUGAAAUGCGUAGAUAUCUGGAGGAACACCGGUGGCGAAGGCGGCAUCCUGGACCAUUACUGACGCUGAGGAGCGAAAGCCAGGGGAGCAAACGGG